Amphiprion ocellaris (clown anemonefish) is the source of this 1394-nucleotide long non-coding RNA. The record is from Ensembl. Lineage: Eukaryota; Metazoa; Chordata; Actinopteri; Pomacentridae.
CGCGAGUAGAAGAAGGACGGAACGGCAACAACAAACAUGGAGGCGGCUCCGUUCGUCGGCUUCUCUCCGGAGCGCUACUGGACGGAGGAGAAGGAGAGGGCGCUCAUUGCGUUUUUCUCCAAGAACAGUUGUCUUUGGAACCACAAGUCUGAGCACUACAAGAACCGCCAGCUACGAUGGAAAACCCUGGAACACCUGAGAAUCCUCCUGUCCACUCACCCACCUCCUGUUUCUUUCACAGUCGAAGACAUCAAGAACAAGUUCAAGAACCUCCGUACCACCUUCCAGCGUCAGUACAAGAUGGUCAGAGCGAGCAAAGGUUGCAGUUCGGAUGAUGUUUUCGUGCCGCAGUGGAAACACUACCAGCAGCUGAUGUUCCUGCAGGGCUGCUGGGACCAAGACGACGGCAUUGAUGAUCCACCGCUAUCACCGCUGACCAUUCCAGACGAGGAGAACCAGCCGGUCCUCUCCUCUCCAGGACUCAUCAUCUCCUUCCUCCCCACUCCGUCCACCUCCUCCGCCUCCACCUCGUCCUCCUGCAUCCCCUCCAACAUCAUGGUGAAGUGUUACUGGACUGAGGAGAGGGAGCGAGCGCUGAUAUCGUUCUACUCUGAGCACAGCUGUCUGUGGAACAAGAAGUCUGAAAACCACAACAACCGUCAGCUGCGACUGAGGCUGCUGGAGGCUCUGAGGACCCAGCUGUCCGACCACUCGGUGACGUUCUCAGUCGAAGAUGUAAAGUGCAAGUUCAAGAACCUUCGGACUGUGUUUAACCGUGAAUACAAAGCAGUCCAGACCAGCAGGGCGACCGACAAACCCUAUGUGUCCAAAUGGAAACACUACCAGCAUCUGCUCUUCCUCUGCGAGUCAUGCGAGGAAGACGACGCCACAGACGACCUGCAGAUACUGAUGUCGCAGGAGGACAAAGAUCUGGAACAUGGAAACCAGACUCCCUCGUCCACCCUGAGCAGCUUCUCCUGCAGCUCCAACCAAAGCAACAGUGUGAAGCUCAACAACGCCUCCUUUCCCUCCAGCUCCAGCCAGAGCGCCACCAAAACCAACUCCAGUGCUGCGUACCAGAUCUUCCUCUCCACAACCCCGGAUAACCUGAAACUAGCCGAACAAAUGGCAGCUUCCACCCUCCCGUCCUCGCCGUCCAGUUCACUGCCAGACUCCAAACCUUGUGUAAACCCUUCAUCUUUGAAUUUCUCUGCGUCCAGUUCAGUUCAGCCAGACAGCAGACUGAGCGUCGACUCCCGCUGCCUCUGGAGUGAAGCCAAAGUCCAGCAGCUCAUUUCAUUUUACUCCGGGUCAUUCCAUCUCAAAUCAUCAGACAAUUUCCGAGGGCAAGAGGGCAUGAUACAGUUUCUAAAAGUUCAGACGGUGAUUAAAUU